RNAcentral lists this ribosomal RNA (427 nucleotides) under uncultured bacterium. RNAcentral's name for it is "bacterial SSU rRNA". It matches the Rfam family "Bacterial small subunit ribosomal RNA", at positions 355 to 774 of the family's 1533-position model. The record is from RNAcentral.
UGGGGAAUUUUGGACAAUGGGCGCAAGCCUGAUCCAGUUAUGUUGCGUGUGGGAAGAAGGUCUUCGGGUUGUAAACCGUUUUUGUCGGGGAAGAAAAGUUUUGGGUUAAUAUUUUGGGGUGAUGACGGUACUCGAAGAAUAAGCAUUGGUUAACUAUGUGCCAGCAGUCGCGGUAAUAUGUAGGGUGUAAGCGUUAAUCGGAAUUACUGGGUGUAAAGUGUGUGCAGGUGGUUGUGUAAGACAGAUGUGAAAUUUUUGGGUUCAAUUUGGGAACUGCAUUUGUGACUGCAUAGCUGGAGUGUGGCAGAGGGGGAUGGAAUUCUGCGUGUAGCAGUGAAAUGCGUAGAUAUGCGGAGGAACACCGAUGGCGAAGGCAAUCCCCUGGGCCUGCAAUGACGCUCAUGCACGAAAGCGUGGGAAGCAAACA